CAGUGAAAUUGAACUCGCUGUGAAGAUGCAGUGUACCCGCGGCAAGACGGAAAGACCCCGUGAACCUUUACUAUAGCUUGACACUGAACAUUGAGCCUUGAUGUGUAGGAUAGGUGGGAGGCUUUGAAGUGUGGACGCCAGUCUGCAUGGAGCCGACCUUGAAAUACCACCCUUUAAUGUUUGAUGUUCUAACGUGGACCCGUAAUCCGGGUUGCGGACAGUGUCUGGUGGGUAGUUUGACUGGGGCGGUCUCCUCCUAAAGAGUAACGGAGGAGCACGAAGGUUGGCUAAUCCUGGUCGGACAUCAGGAGGUUAGUGCAAUGGCAUAAGCCAGCUUGACUGCGAGCGUGACGGCGCGAGCAGGUGCGAAAGCAGGUCAUAGUGAUCCGGUGGUUCUGAAUGGAAGGGCCAUCGCUCAACGGAUAAAAGGUACUCCGGGGAUAACAGGCUGAUACCGCCCAAGAGUUCAUAUCGACGGCGGUGUUUGGCACCUCGAUGUCGGCUCAUCACAUCCUGGGGCUGAAGUAGGUCCCAAGGGUAUGGCUGUUCGCCAUUUAAAGUGGUACGCGAGCUGGGUUUAGAACGUCGUGAGACAGUUCGGUCCCUAUCUGCCGUGGGCGCUGGAGAACUGAGGGGGGCUGCUCCUAGUACGAGAGGACCGGAGUGGACGCAUCACUGGUGUUCGGGUUGUCAUGCCAAUGGCACUGCCCGGUAGCUAAAUGCGGAAGAGAUAAGUGCUGAAAGCAUCUAAGCACGAAACUUGCCCCGAGAUGAGUUCUCCCUGAGACUUAGAGUCUCCUGAAGGAAC
This 808-nucleotide ribosomal RNA is filed under the name Salmonella enterica subsp. enterica serovar 4,[5],12:i:-. Its description in RNAcentral is "partial 23S ribosomal RNA". It matches the Rfam family "Bacterial large subunit ribosomal RNA", at positions 2034 to 2836 of the family's 2925-position model. The record is from RNAcentral. Lineage: Bacteria; Pseudomonadati; Pseudomonadota; Gammaproteobacteria; Enterobacterales; Enterobacteriaceae.